GUGGUCGCUGGCAGCCAAGUCAAGGUCCUUGGUGGGGACCCCGGCGAGCUGGAUGCGCAGCCCACCCCCAGCCCUUCCUUCCUGGGGUGGGUGGCUCCCAGCUGCCGGGUGGGUGGGCUGAAAGCCGGCAUCUGCCAGGGUCCGGGCGUCUGUGCUGUGAGCUCAGGGACCGGGGCUCCUUCAAGGCCCUAGAUCUGGGGGAGCCUCCGGCCCUGAAGCUGGGCUGGGCGGCGGUCCCUGGAUGCCUGAGAGUAGAGGAGGAGGGGAGGGGAGGGGAGAGGAGAGCCAGUCCGGGACAGGAUGGACAGACUUCGGGCAUGCAAGGUCACCAUGAACCCGGGUUCUGGCUGGCAGGAGAGGAGGAAGCUUCGUCCGGGGUCCCCACUGCCCUGCGGCCACAGCUCGGGGAGGAAGCUUCGUCCGGGGCCCCCACUGCCCUGUGGCCACAGCUGGGUGGUGGAAGCUUCAUCCAGGGUCCCCGCUGCCCUGUGGCCACAGCUGGGGGGAGGGCACAGUUCUUGGGCCGCGCCUCCCCGCACUUCCCGAGCUGGGUCUGAGUGGAUCUAGGUUGCAGCCCUGGCGGCUCCUUCUAAAUCACUUGUGCAGAUUAAAAACGGCAACUGUCCCAGAGCUGACCCCAGGGGACCCUGAAAGCUGCCCCCCGCCCCCCAGGCACUCUCUGUUCUCAGCGUCUGCCGGACUCUGGGGCGGCUGCUUCUAGGUCCCCGCCCCCAAUACCUCCGCCCAGGCCGUCCCUGGGGAGCUGGCGCCAGGUCAAGCCCACCACAGCCCGAGGCCUGGACAAGGAGCCCCUUCUCCUUUAUGGCCCCUCCCCUCCCGCCCCCCUUCCAGUUGGAAAGUGGGGAGGAAGGAAGAGAGGAAAGGAGUAAGAAAGAGAGGCUGUCCCGAGGGGUCCCGCAGGGGUGCCCCCACCACGGUUCCUGUCGCUUCUCUGACUGGGACUGACUCCGUGGCCAGGCCACCGAAACCCACAGGCACCAAGCAGAGACGCAGGUACCCCUAAAGGUGGCCCCUGCCUCAAGACAGGAUCUGGGGGCCAGGAAGGUACCUGGGCCUUUGCCCUGAGCCAACCCAGGAAGGCAGUGGGACGGGCAGCAUAGGAGCAGAGGAGGGGCUCUGCCAGGGCCUCCAUUACCGCCUUGUGUCUCCCGUCCCAGCCCUGGGAUCCGUGCUAAUCACGGGGGCUGCCCACCCCUGCUGCUUUGAAGCUGCCCUGAGGGGAGGGGGGGCCAGCUGCCAGGGGUGCGUGUGCCCGCCCAGCCCCUCCAGCUGCGUGGGAGCCUGGACUGACCACAGGGCGGCCAGCAGCCUUUGAAGUACUGGGGUGCGGCCACAGGAAGUGGGCGGCAGCCCACCCAGGCCCUAAGCCCCACCUCCCCAGGGUAAGCGCCUGGUCCACCAACUGGGCUGGGAGCCCAGCCUGCAGCGUCCCCUCUGCACUCCAGGUGUGCCUGGGCUGGGGACUGCAGCCUCUCCCCCAACCCCUAGACCCAACCCCAGCCCCAGUUUAGCCCAGGCUUUGUGGAAAGCCCCUGGGGCGGAGGAGGAAGGAGCAGGCCAGGAGCUGGGGCUGCAAGGAGGGAGGGUGAAGGCGGCUGGAGCCUGUCACAUUCCAGGUGGGCUUCCCCUUCCACCAGCUGAUGUCCUUCUGGGCCUGGGUGGUCUCCCACCAUGGAUACCAGGAGGGCAGGAUGAAGGCAGUUCUCCCUACCUCAGUCAUUCUCUGCAUCUGGUGAUGACCUGAUCUCCCCACCUUCCCCCUUUACCAUCCCUAACGGGAAUCAUUCAUUCGGCGGACGUAUGUCACGGGCCUGCUGGGCUGGACGAAGCACUGGCCGGUCCCAUCCUUGCCCUCAGGGUAUUUGCUGUGAGCAAGUAGGGAUUUAACCCAAAGAGGGGUUUUAUUUUAUUUUAUUUUUAUUAUUUAUUUAUUUAUUUGAGACGGAAUCUCGCUCUGUCGCCCAGACUGGUGUGCAGUGGCGCCAUCUCGGCUCACUGCAAGCUCCGCCUCCCGGUUUCAAGCCAUUCUCCUGCCUCAGCCUCCCAAGUAGCUGGGACUACAGGCGCCCCUCACCAUGCCCGGGUAAUUUUUGUAUGUUUAGUAGACACGGGGUUUCACCAUGUUGGCCAGGAUGGUCUCAAACUCCUGACCUCAGGUGAUCCACCCACCUCGGCCUCCAAAAGUGCUGGGAUUACAGGCAUGAGCCACUGAGCCUGGCCUAUUUUAUGUUUUAAUUUUAUUUAUUUAUUUAUUUUGAGACAGAGUUUGUUCUGUUGCCCAGGCUGGAGUGCAGUGGCGCGAUCUCCGCUCACUGCAACCUCUGCCUCCUGGGUUCAAGCAAUCCUCCUGCUUCAGCCUCCCGAGUAGCUGAGAUUACAGACUCGUGCCACCAACUCCUGACCUCAGGUGAUUCUCCCACCUCAGCCUCCCAAAGUGUUGGGAUUACAGCCAUGAGCCAAUAUGCCUGGCCUAAUUUUUGUAUUUUUGGUAGAGACGGGGUUUCACCAUGUUGGCCAUGGUUGCCCAGGCUGGUCUCAAACUCCUGACGUCAGGUGAUCCACCCACCUUGGCCUCCCAAAGUGCUGGGAUUACAAGUGUGAGCCACCACACCCAGCCUAAUUUUUGUAUUUUUAGUAAAGACAGGGUUUUACCAUGUUGGUCAGGCUAGUCUCGAACUCCUGACCUCAGGUGAUCUGCCCACCUCAGCCUCCCAAAGUGCUGGGAUUAUAGAAAUGAGUCACUGCGCCCGGCCAAGAAGGGUUUUGCAGGAAGCAAACACCAGCAGCUGCCAUCCUGGAGGGGAGGUGGAUCAGGAGCUGAGACCAGAGAGAUGGGUAGGAAUUCACCCUGUGAAUUAGGCUGUGGAGUUGGGGCUGACCCUGGGAGAGGCCCUAGUGCUGAAGGAAUAAGAACAGAGGCCAGAGUGGCUGGGACCUUAGGGACCAGGAGGAAUGAGGCUAGGGAUGGGGAGUGGGGAGAUGGGUAGGGCUUUGCAAACUGGUGCAAGGAGUUGGAAAGGAAGCCAAUUUUUUUUUUUUUUUUUUUUUUUGAGACGGAGUCUCGCUCUGUCACCAGGCUGGAGUGCAGGGGCGCCAUCUCGGCUCACUGCAACCUCUGUCUCCCUCGUUUAAGUGCUUCUCCUGCCUCAGCCUCCUGAGUGGCUGGGAAUACAGGCGUGUGCCACCACGCCCGGGUAAUUUUUGUAUUUUUUUUUUUUUUUUUUUUGAGAUGUAGUCUCGCCCUGUCACCCAGGCUGGAAUGCAGUGGCGCGAUCUCGGCUUACCACAACCUCCACCUCCAGGGUUCAAAUGAUUCUCCUGCCUCAGCCUCCCCAGUAGCUAGGAUUACAGGCACACGCCACCACACCCAGCUAAUUUUUAUAUCUUUAGUAGAGACGGGAUUUCAGCAUGUUGGUCAGGCUGGUCUUGAACUCCUGACCUUGUGAUCCGCCCACCUCGGCCUCCCAAAGUUCUGAGAUUACAGGUGUGAGCUACCGUGCCCGGCCUAAUUUUCGUAUUUUUAGUAGAGAUGGGGUUUCACCAUGUUGGCCAGGCUGGUCUCAAUCUCUUGACCUCGUGAUCCGCCCACCUCAGCCUCCCAAAGUGCUGGGAUUACAGGCGUGCGCCACCGUGCCCGGCUGAAAGGAAGCCACUUCUAAGAAGCUCCUGAAAAUUUCUCAGCUAAACAUUUCUCAGCUCCUGUCUGCAUGUCAGCGAGGUAAUGGGUGGUAAAUGCUGGUGGGAAGGCUGGAGAGCAGGGAACAGCUUAACAUACAAACCAUCCAGAGACUAAGUCCGGAGUGCUUGGGAAAGACCACGGCGUGCAGCGGGUGGGGACUGAGUGGAUAGACGUCUCCGUUUGCCAGGUGUGGACUCCCCAGGACCGGGUGCAGCAGAACGUCCAGACAUGGGUUUUGGGUGGCCCCCAUCUUCCUGGCUUGAUUUUCCCUACAAUGGGCAGUGGUUUAGGUGCUGGCAAGGCUGAAGUUCUCAGAAGGGUGCCACAAAAGGAGGGACAUUUGAAGACUUCCCACAUUUUCGAGAGAGUGACUAAGAGUGGACCACAAAAUCUGAACUGGAUAAGAAGGAAGCCAAAGAAAGGGGAAGGCCGCCUGUUUUGGAGAAAGGAGGGUUGUCCUGGAGCGAAGCGCUUGGUGAGGUGUAACAGCCGGGGAGGGGGGCAGUUGCACCACAGAGGGGGAAACUGCAAGUAGUCAUUUCAGAGUGCGUGGGUUUUGGUGACAGCUGGCUCCAAGGUGUGAGUGAGCAUGGGUGCCUGAAGUAGGGGGAAGUGGAGGGGCCACAUGACAUCUCCCCAGGUGAGUUCAGUUUCAAGGAGGGCUGAAGCAGGCGUCUCCAGGCUAUGUGAGGUCUUCCCCAUUACGACCAUCCACCCACGGCUGCAUCACUGCUGACGGCCGCGGUCGCUGCCACCUCAUUUACCGCAGUCACCGUUGGCAUCUUCUGUGGUGCCUCCAGCCCAUCGUCACCUCCCCAUUGGCAUCACCAGGACCCACUGUCCUGGCACCGCUGCCAUCCACCCAUUCACCCAGUGGGUGAGUGUCUGUUCAGAAGAUCCUCCAGGCGAGCAGUCGUGUUGAGCUCUGGUCACUGCAGCAAGCAGCACAGGCAAGGUCCUUGCUCUUAGGGAUGCAGUCAUGGGGUGACCAAAACAUAUAAAGAGAUUCAGGCCGGGUGCGGUGGCUCACGCCUGUAAUCCCAGCACUUU
This 4750-nucleotide long non-coding RNA is filed under the name Homo sapiens (human). RNAcentral describes it as "HSALNT0270584". Lineage: Eukaryota; Metazoa; Chordata; Mammalia; Primates; Hominidae. The record is from RNAcentral.